Molecule: transfer RNA, 73 nt
Filed under: Camelus bactrianus (Bactrian camel)
Lineage: Eukaryota; Metazoa; Chordata; Mammalia; Artiodactyla; Camelidae
Also listed under: 1 other name
Rfam family: tRNA
About the family: Transfer RNA (tRNA) molecules are approximately 80 nucleotides in length. Their secondary structure includes four short double-helical elements and three loops (D, anti-codon, and T loops). Further hydrogen bonds mediate the characteristic L-shaped molecular structure. tRNAs have two regions of fundamental functional importance: the anti-codon, which is responsible for specific mRNA codon recognition, and the 3' end, to which the tRNAs corresponding amino acid is attached (by aminoacyl-tRNA synthetases). tRNAs cope with the degeneracy of the genetic code in two manners: having more than one tRNA (with a specific anti-codon) for a particular amino acid; and 'wobble' base-pairing, i.e. permitting non-standard base-pairing at the 3rd anti-codon position.
Source: Rfam by way of RNAcentral
AGAGGUAUAGCUCAAGUGGUAGAGCACGUGCUCAACAUGCAUGAAGCCCUGGGUUCAAUCCCCAGUACCUCCU